This 253-nucleotide unclassified non-coding RNA is filed under the name uncultured Acidobacteriota bacterium. RNAcentral's name for it is "uncultured Acidobacteria bacterium contains 16S-23S intergenic spacer region". It matches the Rfam family "Bacterial small subunit ribosomal RNA", at positions 524 to 776 of the family's 1533-position model. Lineage: Bacteria; Pseudomonadati; Acidobacteriota. The record is from RNAcentral.
UACGGAGGGGGCUAGCGUUGUUCGGAAUUACUGGGCGUAAAGGGCGCGUAGGCGGCCAAGCAAGUCAGGGGUGAAAUCCCUCGGCUCAACCGAGGAACUGCCUCUGAAACUGCAUGGCUUGAGACCGGGAGAGGGUGGUGGAAUUCCUAGUGUAGCGGUGAAAUGCGUAGAUAUUAGGAGGAACACCAGUGGCGAAGGCGACCACCGUGACCGGAUCUGACGCUGAGGCGCGAAAAUGUGGGGAGCAAACAGG